AUUGCGUGGUUUUCUAGAAUGGGUGAACUCCUUUCUGAGUCACUGUGAGUGAUCAUGAGGUUUGCAAAAACUCAAGAACUCAUAUAGGUAUUGCAGAAUGGCUGUUUUCAUCCAAAGUACGUUUGACAUGUGUAGGCACCUACAGCUGUCUAUUUCUGCUGAGAACGUGCCAUACAUAUUUCUGCAGUUUCCUUGACUUGCUCCACGUCUCCUGACUGUACUUAGGAACCUGUUCCAGUCAGUGAUGAAGAUGUCUCUUCCUCCCAGAGUGAAGGCAAAGGAAUUACAUCUAUUAAAAACGAUCAGAGGA
Molecule: non-coding RNA, 310 nt
Organism: Meleagris gallopavo (turkey)
Lineage: Eukaryota; Metazoa; Chordata; Aves; Galliformes; Phasianidae
Source: RefSeq, a predicted model, not a curated record